Molecule: non-coding RNA, 94 nt
Organism: Zea mays
Lineage: Eukaryota; Viridiplantae; Streptophyta; Magnoliopsida; Poales; Poaceae
Source: Rfam
GUGCUUGCAGGUGCAGCACCAUCAAGAUUCACAUCCCCAGCUCGAUCUGUGCAUGAUGAGAUGAGAAUCUUGAUGAUGCUGCAUCAGCAAACAC